Non-coding RNA from Candidatus Schekmanbacteria bacterium RBG_16_38_11, 85 nucleotides. The record is from Rfam. Lineage: Bacteria; Candidatus Schekmaniibacteriota.
GCGAAAGUGGCGGAAUUGGCAGACGCGCUGGACUUAGGAUCCAGUCCGCAUAAAGCGGUUGGGGGUUCGACUCCCCCCUUUCGCA